UUUAGUAGAAGAGGUCGCAAUUGACAACAGCUAGUUAGCUCGCUAUCACAAUAGUAUUAGUUAAAAUUAGUGAGGGGAUAUUGCCGAAACGUCAAAGAGUUGUGACGAUUUGAUGUUGGGGUGUGGUUGAACAAAUCACAAACUGUCAUAAGCACAUAACUUAUGGAGAGCUAUCGACAAA
RNAcentral lists this non-coding RNA (181 nucleotides) under Holzapfeliella floricola. RNAcentral's name for it is "Lactobacillus floricola Lysine sequence". It matches the Rfam family "Lysine riboswitch aptamer". Rfam says of the family: Riboswitches are metabolite binding domains within certain messenger RNAs that serve as precision sensors for their corresponding targets. Allosteric rearrangement of mRNA structure is mediated by ligand binding, and this results in modulation of gene expression. The record is from RNAcentral. Lineage: Bacteria; Bacillati; Bacillota; Bacilli; Lactobacillales; Lactobacillaceae. RNAcentral also lists the same sequence under 1 other name.